Molecule: small nucleolar RNA, 136 nt
Organism: Rattus rattus (black rat)
Lineage: Eukaryota; Metazoa; Chordata; Mammalia; Rodentia; Muridae
Product: small nucleolar RNA SNORA17
Exons: 1
Source: RefSeq, a predicted model, not a curated record
CUUGCCCCUUGAGGUGGUACAGAUGGAUGUGGCUGCUGCGUCACAUGUGUGACAGUAGAUGGCAGAGAGAAGAGAGCCUAUACCUAUGCUCAGUAUUCUGAUCUAUGAAUAUCUGAAUGAUUAGUAGACUAACAUU